AUCCCUCCAAAAGUUCCCAAAUACUCAAAUACCCCAUGUUUCUCUCAAAAAUUCAGUCUUCCCCCCAAAAUCUUUGUUUCCAUCACACACUCAUUCUCGUUUCCCCCUCAUGGAAGGCUUUUAAAUGUGGAAGCGUCGGCAAGAUCGAGAUGGAGGUUAACUACCCACUGCGAUCUCUGUUUGUUGUGUGGGUCAGUGCUGAUAGUCGCUGAUGUUUUUGUAACCGAACAACGAGUAAACGGUGGUUAGGGUUGAACAUUCGGACGAAAUAAAGGAUGUCUUGUGUGCAAGAAGAAGAUGGCAACUCCUCUCUCAAAACACUUUCUGGAUCUUGUCCUGCCCCAUUUAGAAAUCUUUUGGAAUAUGUUGUUAAUUUGAAGUUUGAUAAAGAGCCUUCUUAUGCAAAACUUCCGUUUGAUCAUCUGAAAGUAGUUAUUUUUCCUAAUUACAUGUCAAAUUGUGUGUUAAUUUGUUGGCCUGUUAUAUGGUAUUUGUAGGUUUAUGAAAAGAGCUCACAUCAUAGUACUUUGGUUGUUUGUUUGAAGUUGUGAAAAUGAAGCUCUCUAACGGAAGAUUUGAAUAUGAUUGAUGAAUUUGUACGUGAUACUUGUGAAUUUGGCUAUGAUGAAAGGUUGAUGGAUAAGCCAAAUAGUACAGAAUACAAGUCUUCCUCCAUGGAAAUGCAGUAUAUAUAUAUUAUAAACUUGGAGGAUGAUGGUGGGGACAUGGUGCUACUCCUACACUAACUAUUUUUUUCUCAUAGUGUUAUGGUUAGAGACGGCGGCUUCCGGUAUGGCAUGGCCCGGUUCGUGUUGCUAUACAACUGGAAUUUGAUUUUCAUAGGGCCAUCUACAACCUCAACACUUUUUCGGUUAGUUGAAUGAACUUUUUCUCUUCUACGAUUCCGGUUGCAAGUAUGGAUUAAAGACAUUGGUUUGGGUUGAAAGUAUGAAGACGUCUGUCGGUUUGGUUCAGGAAGUUAUUGUAUAUCACUUUCAUCUUUAGAGUUAUAUGUAUUAUUGUGUUAUUGGAAAACUUUUGUAAUAUUGUGUUACUUUGAAACCUUUGUAUUUUGUAAUCUUGGGUCAUAUUAUAUUGGUUCUAAUUUAAUUUUGUUCUUUUUUGUA
This is a long non-coding RNA of Helianthus annuus (common sunflower), 1127 nucleotides long. RefSeq lists it as uncharacterized. NCBI's taxonomy places the organism in Eukaryota, Viridiplantae, Streptophyta, Magnoliopsida, Asterales, Asteraceae. The transcript is spliced from 4 exons. The record is from RefSeq and is a predicted model, not a curated record.